UGUGUGAUAUAUGUGGCAAUUUGGGAUUCAGGGGAACAAGGUGAUCAUGCUGUUCCUUUAUUUAUUUUCUUCCUAAUUCAUGUUUGUGUGAUAUUUGUGGCAAUUUGGGAUUGAGGGGAACAAGGUGAUCACGCUGUUCCUUUAUUUAUUUUCUUCCUAAUUCAUGUUUGUGUGUGAUAUUUGUGGGAAUUUUCUCUUUAGGUUUGUUAACUUCUAUGUUUAAUAGAUGCAUGUUGUUUAGGUGCGAUUGUGCUCUGAUGGGUGUGGAAUCCUGAUGCAAUAUGCUGAGAAGGGCGUGUUUUUGUUCUUUAAAUAUACAACAACAUUCCCCAAUCAGAGUUGGAACACAUCGAAUAUUGAUUUUAAACCUCACAACCUAAUGCAUGAUUAAGUAAUUAUGUGUCAUAAAAUCUGUACACUAAGUACUUAUUCCAGAGAGUGUGGGGUCCUAAGCUUUCCUUGUCAAAUCGUAGGGAUCAUAGAAUUUACAGGCAUUUCUGGAAAUUGGUGCUAAUUUGAUGAUUGAAGGUUGCCUUGAUAAAUGAUAACUAUAGAACAAUUAAAUGUUUAGUGUCAAGUGAUGUUUGUAGUAACAAUCCACAAACUUCAAAAGGAAGUUGAUUUAGAAUUUCUCUGUUGCAAUUUAUACUGGUUGAUGCUUAAUUAGGAGAUGCCUUUUCAGUUAUUGAAUUGAAGUUGAUCAGUGUCAUUUUCACCAUUGUAACUGCUAAUAUUAGGCAGUUUCAUAAUGCAUCCGGAAUGUUUCUUGUAAGGAAAUUUCUUCAGUCAUACAUGGUCUGUAGAAUGAAUUUUUAACAUAACUUUCUAUACUCAGCAAGGACAGAUAGUUGGACAUCCGUUAUUUUUUGACAUCGCAGCCUUUUUCAUGGUCCUUCAUUUGUAUUCAUUUUUCCUUCAAUUAUGCCCCUGCAAAACAUGCAUUAUUAAAUUUUCAAUAUGCCUUUUUUUAUAUUUAAACAUGAAUUGAAUACAAAGUUGCUUCCAUUAUUACAUAGGGUUAUGUGAAAUUUUAUGUCCAAUACUCCCUUUGUUUCAAAUUACUUGUCGUUCUAUGUUUUUCUUAAGUCAAGCAUUUUAAUUUGACCAUCAAUUUCUAUAAACUCAUAUAGUUUAACAUCAUAAGGUUUAUAUUUUUGGAUUUGCGAUGAGAAAUACUUUCAUAAUAAAUAAUUCACAUGAUGAACUGCAUGGAUUUUUAAAAACUAAUGGUAAAAAAUAGACAUGUUUGACUUAGGACAAACCUAGAACGACAAAUAAUUUGAAACAGAGGGAGUAGUUGUGUCCAACAUUUUUGUCAGAAGAAAGUACAAUCUAUUUUUUUCCAUUUCUCAUGGAAAUAGCCUAAGCCAGUAAACGUGAUUUAGAUUUUUUUUUCCUUCCCUCUUCUAUUCAGGAUGCAAUGCUAUUUUAAAAAGAAGUAUUUGUUUUUUGCUGACCAUUUGAUAGUUUUUUUUUGUUCCUUAGUUAUUUGAUAGUUUAGUUGCUGAUGUACAAGAAGCCUCAUGUUACAUACUUUCUUGUACUUUGGCCUAAAAGGCUUGACUAAAAUGGAUUUUUCCACAUUUUCUUUCUUGGAAGUAUAGGUGAGGCAUGGUCUAGAAAUUGUUUGAAAAAAAAGUUUAAAUCAAAAGUUGAGGCUCAUUUUCCUAGUCUUUUUACUUGCUCUGAAAUAAAAAUUUGGCGACCAAUGUUCAAUGUCUAAUUAACGUUUACAACUUUAGCAUGAUUUUACGGUUGCAAGUACAAACUACCGAUUUUUUGUGCUGAAUGAAUGAUUAGAACCGCCUCUGUUCCUUUUGUGGUAGUAUCCAGUUAGGUACUCCUAAUGUUGGAAGAGCACCUGCAUUUUCUUGUCGAUCAGUAGUCACUCCCUUCACUUUGAUGUUUGCUCAUUAUACCUUUCCACUGUUGUUAGUUGUGUCUUACUACAGGUGAAGAAGUAAGUUUUUUUUAGUUCUGUCAGACACUCCAAUAGACAUUGUCGUGAUUCACCAAGUGCUUGUGCUUGUUACUCUGUUCUAUCAUUGCUUUUGGAUAAAAUAACCCUUGAUGUUUGCUUGUUUCUUCAUUCUUGAUUACAUAUAUGAAGAAGUUCAGUAUCUCUUAAAUGUUUGCAUCUGCAGGACCCUAACGUGUCCAUUCCUGUGGAUGCCAUCAUGGGGGCUCUUAGGGUCAUACUUGGUACUGAAUUAGGCUUCUUCUGUCCUGUUUAUCUUUGCUGUAUACUAAAACUCUCUGAUGACCAUCAAGCUAAUAAUUUUGACUUACUAGUACUGAUUCUUGGUUUCAGAUGUAAGGAAUCACCCAGUUCUAAUCCAUUGCAAAAGAGGAAAGGUACCAAAAAGCACUCAUCUGUUCAAAAUCCAUAAUUGUUUUUGUCCACACCACAUGUUCUUGAUAUUUUAUCUGUUUCGACCGCAGCACCGUACUGGAUGUCUUGUGGGCUGCUUCAGAAAGCUGCAGAAUUGGUGUCUCUCAUCAGUCUUUGAAGAGUACCAUCGGUAUGCUGCUGGAAAGUCACGGUUGUCAGAUCUGAAGUUUAUCGAAUCAUUUGAUGUCAACUGCAUGACGGAUUGCCUGCUCAGGCUCAUCUACCACUACCAUGGUUGCCUUCAGAAAAGCAAGCGCCUGGCAUACAGCGAGAGAUAAACUACUGUGGAAACUAUCUCCUGUGUCAUGAGUAUAUCCCUGGAGAAGAAUUGGUCGGACUAUUUUUCCUUUUUGGAGGGGAAUUGGUCGGAGUUGUAACACAAAGACUCGAGUUACCGGGCAUCUGUUGAUUCUUUUUUUAUAUCUUCAUGCCUUGGUUCUUUUUAUAAUAUAUAUAUAUAUUCUUUGAGCAUGGUCUUUGACGUUAAUUUCACCACCCUAAAUAUAAGUCUAAGCAAGUUUAUGAUUAUUAAGUGUGGUGUAUUGCUAUGGUAGUGCGCAUCCUCAUAUAACAACCAAACACCUGUUUGCCAGUCCUUACAUUCUUCGAGAAGUAGAUCCCUGGCAAUUAAUUAAUCACGCGGUCUUAAUAUAUACUCCCGUUUCAAAAUAUUUGACACCGUUAACUUUUUAGCACAUGUGUGACCGUUUGUCUUAUUAAAAAAAUUUAUAAAAUAUGUAAAAUUAUAUGUGUACAUGAAAGUAUAUUUAACAAUGAAUCAAAUGAUAUGAAAAGAAUAAAUAAUUACUUAAAUUUUUUAAAUAAGACAAAUGGUUAAACACGUACUAAAAAGUCGACGGUGUCAAACAUUUUGAAACGGAGGGAGUACUUUCUCGUGAUACUCUCCCCGCGGAUCACAUUAGAUGUUGUGAUAGUCUCCCCGCGGAUCACUAGAGAAGUUGAGAACCUAUAAAUUGCCAGUUCGUUUGCUCUGCUCUUUCUUAUGCAAGAUGUGUUUAAUUGUACUGAUGAGAUUCCGUUGAAACACAUGCCCAUGAAAUUUACUAAUUUUUGAAAAACAUUUUCUCAAAAAUAUCCAAAAGUAAUCCUUUUUGACCAAACUUCGAAAAAAUAUUUCCUCAAAAAUAUCCAAAAGUAAUCUUUUUGACCAAACUCCGAGUCUGCGACCAUUCUGUUAUGCCAUCUCCAGAUAUAUUGAUUCAGCAACCUUGCCCCAACCACAAGCCCUGCAGGCUGCAGAUUCUGUUUUCCACUUGGCGCGACGGGCGGCACCGCCAGCUAGGCGUCCAACGUAAGGAGGGGGAUCUCCAGGAAUUCAGAUAAGGGAUAGGGUUGCUGGCAUCCUCCAUCCAAUGAACGCCACACAGCUCUCAACCAUAUCUCAUCUUCAGGGACCCACCCAAACACAUACUCCAGAUUUUCUCUCCUGCAGCUUGUAAAGAUCACAAACUUUAAUUUCUAGGGCAGUUGCCAAGAAGGCUGUUUCACAUCCAUUUUUUUUGGCCGGGAGAGAGAGCAUCUAGCUAGGGAGAGAAAGGAAGAGACGAGAGGAGAGAGAUGGCCACUGCUUAUGCUCCCAUGGCGAGCCAGCUGAUGAAGAGCAGCUUGGUGUGCUCCAAGCCGAGGGGGCUGUCUGGUGCUUCGCUGACAAGGAGGCCCCGCUUCACAGUCAAGGCCAUCCAGUCUGAGAAGGUCAGUAGAGCUAGCUAGACUGCUAAAGAGCAUUGAGAGAUUUCCCAUUUCGCUUCAUCAAAGCUAGUGUAAAACUUGCAUGUUUCUCAAGAACAAGCUCUGUUAAUUAAAAUCAGAUGGUAGAUUUCAGACAUAAUCGUUUUUCAUUUUGUUGUAUUUUUAUUGCUCUGUUCACUAGUUUAUUUCCUCAAUUAGCAAUAUAAUAUUGAAUUGUUGUAAUCCCUCUGUAGAUUAGACGCAUCGUAGUACUAUGAAAUGUGAAAAAUUUCAAAGAUGAAGGGAGUAAUAAGUUUGCCUGCAUAGUACAUCCUUAAACUUUUUGCCAUCGUUAUUUCGAUCACAAAUCCCCUUUUUGGGAGAGAGGGUUGGAUUAUUAGCAUGACGAUUUUAGAAGAUAUAGUUACACAAAUUUAGCCAAAAUUGGAUGCAUUAAUUUAUAGUUAACUUUGUAUAAGUUCUAGCUAUAUGAUAAGUGUAAACCAUAAGUCCAUAAUAUAUGCAAGAAACAAGAGCAUACGUUUUCUAGAGCUUAAUUAAAUAGCUUUAUUUGUGUGAGCGUGACUAUAUCGGCGUCUGUAGGCCGGAUACAUCUUGACGCAGAAGCCGAAUUGAAAUAUAGUAUUAUCUAAAAGAAAUAUAUAUGGUGGUGUGUAUUUACACGUGUCUACUUCUAUGGAACGAUAAAUGAAACAUUUACUCUCUUCGUCUCAUAUUACCUGUCGUUUUAGAUAAUUUAGCAUAGAUUAAGGUUUGAGGAAAAAAAAUAUAAUACUCCUAAUUAAAUAUUGUAUAGUUGGAUGUAGGAGGAUGGUUAAGGGUAGAAAAGAUAGAAAUUUGAAUUAGAAGUGAUUGAUGGGACAAGUAAUAAUUCUUUAUGAUAACCAUUUUGAGACAGAGGGAGUAUGAAUCCUAAAGAAUAAAUUGGGACAGAGGGAGUAUCUGAUAUGUGUGAUUCUUGUGGCGUUGUACACAGCCAACGUACCAGGUGGUGCAGCCCAUCAAUGGCGACCCCUUCAUCGGCAGCCUGGAGACGCCGGUGACCUCCAGCCCGCUGGUCGCCUGGUACCUCUCCAACCUCCCGG
This 5187-nucleotide long non-coding RNA is filed under the name Oryza sativa (Asian cultivated rice). RNAcentral's name for it is "long non-coding RNA (OSAT_LNC000158)". The record is from RNAcentral. Lineage: Eukaryota; Viridiplantae; Streptophyta; Magnoliopsida; Poales; Poaceae.